CACAAUUGCUACGAAGAGAGUAAAAUACCUAGGAAUCCAACUUACAAGGGUUGUGAAGGAUCUCUUCAAGGAAGUCACUUUCUGUAUUGUACUUCGCUUAAUACUUAAGCAUCCAGGAAAGUUUUGUUAGAUAUUGCAGUCAGGUCUAGGCUAAGUAUUUUAAAUUUUUUAUUUUUAUUUUAUUUGGUUAUAAGCGGUGUUCUGAUCAGUGACAGAAGUGACUUGGUUCCACCUUUAACAGAACGUUGGUGUAGAGCAAAUCAGCACAAUCUUCUCCUCUAUGAACAUGUGUGUUGACUCAUGCAUACUCAAGAAACCCUGUGAAGCAGCCUUGAAAAGAGAUUUUUCUGGCCAAGCUUGGUCCUAAAUGUGAGACAAUUGUGAAAAGUGGAGGACAGAGCCACCUGGUUAAAUACAGCCCCGGCUUUCUGGUGAGAGGAUUGAAACCAAGAUGUGUCAAGUAACUAGAAUGUGCCUGGACAGAUACUGUAGAAAGCAAACCCAUAAAGUUGUUCAUGAGCUUGUGGACACACCUGCCAGCUGUGAAUAAGUGGCUCUAAUCCCAAACAACUUACCUAAAAAGAGCCUGAGAGCUGAACUGUGCAAUGGCCCACUUUCCAGUCCUCACUGACCACUGGGUUGCACACACUUUGGAGAUCUCUGAACAGCAGUGUCAAGCCUUUCAAAUAGAGUUAUCUUCGAAACGACAACACAUGGAAGUCUGGUUGAUACUUGGAGCUUAAAUACAAGGCAAUUGUGUACCUGCAAAAACAAAAAUAGCAAUAUUAUCCUUAAGAUUUCAGCAAGACACAGUGUCUCAUCACAUAAUCCAAAGAAGUCCAGGUUACAAGCCCCAAAAUAUUCAGCAUUAUGAAAAAACAGGGAGAUCUUAAUUCACAUGGCAAAGAGAAUCCUCGAAUAACAAUAUUGAGAGGACACAGAUGUCAAAAUCAUCUGACACAUACUUUAAAGCAGAUAUUAUAACAAUGCUCCUAGAAUCGGGGAUAACAUUGGUGAAGUGAAUGGAAAGUUGGAAAGUCUAACCAAAUAUUUCGAAUAUAUAAACACCAAUUUAAACUUAAGAAUUAAAAAAAUGUAUUAACCAAAACUCUUAGGGGAAAUAAAAAGCUUAAUUGGAGGAUCUCCAUAAUAGAAUGCAGAAGACUAAGGAAAAAGUCAAUGAACUUGAAAACAGAACACGAAUACCUACAUAAUCUGAACUAUAGAGAGAAAGGAGGAUUUUAUUGUCUCUGAACAGAGGCUCAGGGACAAAUAAAAAAUAACAAAUCCAACAUUCACAUUAUUGUAAUCUGGAAAGAAGAGGACAAAGUGGUCUUUGUGGGAUAAAACUUUGAACAAUUAAUAGCUGAAAAUGGUUCAAAUUUGUCAAAAGAUAUAAACCAGAUUUUUAAAGUUCAGUAAAUGUCAAUCAGGAUAAACCCAAAGAAACCCAUAGCAAGGCAUAUCAUAAUCAAACUGCUGAAAACUAAGAAAAUACAAAACAAUUUUGAAAGCAGCCAAAGGGAAAUGAAAGAGAAACUACCAUAUGAAUGAUUGUAGAUUUCGCAUCAGGAACCAUAGGGGCCAGAAAAAAUGUCAUAACAUUCGGUAAGUAACAAAAGAAAAAGACAUAUCGACCCAGAAUGCUAUGUGGAGCAAAAGUAUCUUCCAGACAUAAAGGCAAAUAAAUGCAUUCUCAGUGGAAGGUAAGUAAAUACAUUCUCAUUCUUAGGAAGACUGCUGGAAAAGAAUUGGCAAAGAUUUGAGAUAAGAAAAAUGAUACCAGAAGGAAACUUAGAACAUCAUCAGUGAAGGAACAAAAGCAGAAAUAGAAAAUGUCUGGGUAGACAUAACAGACUAUUAUUCUUCCCUUGAGUUCCUUAAGGAGACUACGGAAAAGAAGAGUGACUAAGAUCUCUGAAGAAGGGAAAAGCUAGAUGACUGGGCCACAAGAGGAAAAAAAGCAGCAAGACAGAGAUUUGUUGGUGCCAACUAAAUGAGCCUAACAGCCAGUGACAACAGAACUGCACUAAAAAAAGUCCCUCAUCAGCUCUUGAGAGCAGGUUCCUUAAAGAGAAUGAGUAGCCACUGCUGUUUGCCCUGGCCCAUCAAUGAGAAGAUCUGCUCUUAGAGCCCUGCUUUCCUGCUGAAGGCCCCGAAAUCACCUGUGUUCCAGGCCACCCGCUAACAAUAAAUAAUGCUCCCCUGAUGUGGGGAAUUAGCUCAAGUGGUAGAGCGCUUGCUUAGCAUGCAAGAGGUAGUGGGAUCGAUGCCCACAUUCUCCAAGCUUUAUUAUUUAGACAUCGUGUCUCCAAACACUCAGGUCUCCAAACCCAAGUUAGUGUCUGAGAACAGGAUGCUGCUUUGGUUCAAGACGUAGGAGCAGCAAUAAUAGAGGGCUGGUGAUGGCUCCCUCUUGGCAUUCAGUAUAGUGUAGAUCUACCAUGUAAUUAAUUCUCUGUUUCUUUGAGGAGCUGUGAAACCAAGGGACAUAUACAACUGCUCUUUUCUCCCUGUUUCUACCUGCAGCUUUGUCCUAAAUGUGAGACAAUUAUGAAAAGUGCAGGGCAGAGCCACUUGGGUAAAUACAGCCCCGGCUUUCUGCUCAGGGGACAGAGUUUGAGGCACUGCAGAGGAACCAGCCAAAGUAUGAGACCCAUAUGUUGAGAGUGACAGUGUAAAGUUCAAAAAAAUCAAAAUGUUUAAAGAUUUAUCAUGGGUCUUGAUGACAUGAUGGAAUCUCUCUACUCUCUGGACUGAUUAUGUGUGGUAAUAAAUUUACUUUUUAAAAGCCA
RNAcentral lists this transfer RNA (2795 nucleotides) under Homo sapiens (human). RNAcentral's name for it is "HSALNT0334804". The stretch from base 2213 to 2285 matches the Rfam family "tRNA". The record is from RNAcentral. Lineage: Eukaryota; Metazoa; Chordata; Mammalia; Primates; Hominidae.